RNAcentral lists this unclassified non-coding RNA (287 nucleotides) under plant metagenome. Its description in RNAcentral is "partial contains small subunit ribosomal RNA, internal transcribed spacer 1, and 5.8S ribosomal RNA". The record is from RNAcentral.
UUUCCGUAGGUGAACCUGCGGAAGGAUCAUUAUUGAAUAAACUUGGUUAGGUUGUUGCUGGUCCUUAGGGGCAUGUGCACGCCGAAUCCAUUUUUAACCACCUGUGCACCUUGCGUAGAACUGAUAAUCUCGAGGAAACUCGGUUUGAGAAUUGCUGUGCAAACGGCUCUUCUUGUAAUCAGGACUAUGUUUCUAUAUACCCCACACGCAUGUAUCAUGAAUGUCGUUAAUGGCCUGUGUGCUUUUAAAAACAAAUACAACUUUCAACAACGGAUCUCUUGGUUCUC